This 216-nucleotide microRNA precursor is filed under the name Oryza punctata. Its description in RNAcentral is "MIR812 microRNA precursor family". It matches the Rfam family "MIR812 microRNA precursor family". Lineage: Eukaryota; Viridiplantae; Streptophyta; Magnoliopsida; Poales; Poaceae. The record is from Rfam by way of RNAcentral.
CCUAAGUUUCAUUUAUGAGUUUCUAUGUCUAACAUUUGAUCACGGUCUCAUUUAGUUUUUUUUAUGAAUAGUAUUUGUGUUGUUUUUAAUGAUAAAACAUGAAUAGUAAUUAAUGAAUAGUAAUUAAUGCAUGACUUUUCAAAAAAAAUUUCAUAAAACUUUCAAAUAAAACGAACGGUCAAACGUUAGACGCAGAAACCUACGAAUGAACUUAAU